ACUUGAUUCGCUUAACUCCUCCCCAAUCUAUACUAACAUUCUUACUAUAUGCUUCAACAGCUAGCGACAUGUUCAGGGUUGCCUAGUUUAAUAUCUCAUCUAUGCUCCUCGAUUCUUUUUUCAAUUGUUUGGGACGUAACACCAAUGUACGCUGUCUCUGUAUGCGUAGCACAUUCGACUAAGAGUAUUCUAUACACCCCACUUCUUUCAUUUUGUUUAAGCAGGUCUUUCUCAUUCCUUAGAACAUCGAACACAGUUGGAUUUCUUUCCACCGCCAUUCUUUUUCUAUUUUUAUCCAUCAU
RNAcentral lists this long non-coding RNA (302 nucleotides) under Androctonus crassicauda. The record is from RNAcentral. Lineage: Eukaryota; Metazoa; Arthropoda; Arachnida; Scorpiones; Buthidae.